This 465-nucleotide ribosomal RNA is filed under the name uncultured bacterium. RNAcentral's name for it is "partial 16S ribosomal RNA". It matches the Rfam family "Bacterial small subunit ribosomal RNA", at positions 28 to 507 of the family's 1533-position model. The record is from RNAcentral.
GACGAACGCUGGCGGCGUGCUUAACACAUGCAAGUCGAACGGAAAGGCCCCUUUGGGGGUACUCGAGUGGCGAACGGGUGAGUAACACGUGAGUAACCUGCCCUUGACUUCGGGACAACUUCAGGACACUGGGGCUAAUACCGGAUAGGAAUCCUUGCUGCAUGGUGGGGGUUGGAAAGCUUCGGCGGUUUUGGAUGGACUCGCGGCUUAUCAGCGUGUUGGUGGGGUAGUGGCUUACCAAGGCUUUGACGGGUAGCCGGCCUGAGAGGGCGACCGGCCACAUUGGGACCGGGGUACGGCCCAGACGCCUACGGGCGGCAGCAGUGGGGAAUAUUGCACCAUGGGCGGGAGCCUGAUGCAGCGACGCCGCGUGCGGGAUGACGGCCUUCGGGUUGUAAACCGCUUUCAGCAGGGGCGAGGCUUGUGGUGACGGUACCUGCAGAAGAAGCACCGGCUAACUACGUG